Molecule: non-coding RNA, 276 nt
Organism: Vicia faba (fava bean)
Lineage: Eukaryota; Viridiplantae; Streptophyta; Magnoliopsida; Fabales; Fabaceae
Source: the annotation of a GenBank genome assembly
AUGAAGCCAUCAUUUGCAGCUCUUCUACUUGUGUGUCUUAUUCUCUCCUCAUCUAUGUUUGAAAUCACAGCACUUGGUGUUGGUGCAGGUAGUUUCUGCUCGGCAAAAUGCAGACAGAGGUGCUUGAAAGCUGGGAGGAGAGACAUGUGCUUGAAUUUAUGUGGAAUUUGUUGCAGUAAGUGUAAGUGUGUGCCAUCAGGGACAUAUGGUAACAAACAUGAGUCUCCUUGUUACAGAGACAUGAGAAACUCAAAGGGAAAUCCAAAAUUCCCUUAA